RNAcentral lists this transfer RNA (77 nucleotides) under Deltotaria brimleii brimleii. RNAcentral describes it as "tRNA-Val". Lineage: Eukaryota; Metazoa; Arthropoda; Diplopoda; Polydesmida; Xystodesmidae. The record is from RNAcentral.
CAUAUUAAAGUUUUUUUUGAAUUUUUCCUUUACGUUGAAAAGGCCUCGUUUUGAGUAGUAUGAUUGUUAUGUUUUGG